GGGGAAUAUUGGACGAUGGGGGAAACCCUGAUCCAGCCAUGCCGCGUGUGUGAUGAAGGCCUUCGGGUUGUAAAGCACUUUCGCACGUGACGAUGAUGACGGUAACGUGAGAAGAAGCCUCGGCUAACUUCGUGCCAGCAGCCGCGGUAAUACGAAGGGGGCAAGCGUUGUUCUUUUUUACUGGGCGUAAAGGGCGCGUAGGCGGUGAACUAAGUCAGGCGUGAAAGCCCUGGGCUCAACCCGGGAAUUGCGUUUGAUACUGGUGCGCUUGAAUCCAGGAGAGGUUGGUGGAAUUCCCAGUGUAGAGGUGAAAUUCGUAGAGAUUGGGAAGAACACCGGUGGCGAAGGCGGCCAACUGGACUGGUAUUGACGCUGAGGCGCGAAAGCGUGGGGAGCAAAC
RNAcentral lists this ribosomal RNA (400 nucleotides) under uncultured bacterium. Its description in RNAcentral is "bacterial SSU rRNA". It matches the Rfam family "Bacterial small subunit ribosomal RNA", at positions 356 to 773 of the family's 1533-position model. The record is from RNAcentral.